RNAcentral lists this ribosomal RNA (2924 nucleotides) under Staphylococcus aureus. RNAcentral's name for it is "23S ribosomal RNA". It matches the Rfam family "Bacterial large subunit ribosomal RNA". The record is from RNAcentral. Lineage: Bacteria; Bacillati; Bacillota; Bacilli; Caryophanales; Staphylococcaceae.
GAUUAAGUUAUUAAGGGCGCACGGUGGAUGCCUUGGCACUAGAAGCCGAUGAAGGACGUUACUAACGACGAUAUGCUUUGGGGAGCUGUAAGUAAGCUUUGAUCCAGAGAUUUCCGAAUGGGGAAACCCAGCAUGAGUUAUGUCAUGUUAUCGAUAUGUGAAUACAUAGCAUAUCAGAAGGCACACCCGGAGAACUGAAACAUCUUAGUACCCGGAGGAAGAGAAAGAAAAUUCGAUUCCCUUAGUAGCGGCGAGCGAAACGGGAAGAGCCCAAACCAACAAGCUUGCUUGUUGGGGUUGUAGGACACUCUAUACGGAGUUACAAAGGACGACAUUAGACGAAUCAUCUGGAAAGAUGAAUCAAAGAAGGUAAUAAUCCUGUAGUCGAAAAUGUUGUCUCUCUUGAGUGGAUCCUGAGUACGACGGAGCACGUGAAAUUCCGUCGGAAUCUGGGAGGACCAUCUCCUAAGGCUAAAUACUCUCUAGUGACCGAUAGUGAACCAGUACCGUGAGGGAAAGGUGAAAAGCACCCCGGAAGGGGAGUGAAAUAGAACCUGAAACCGUGUGCUUACAAGUAGUCAGAGCCCGUUAAUGGGUGAUGGCGUGCCUUUUGUAGAAUGAACCGGCGAGUUACGAUUUGAUGCAAGGUUAAGCAGUAAAUGUGGAGCCGUAGCGAAAGCGAGUCUGAAUAGGGCGUUUAGUAUUUGGUCGUAGACCCGAAACCAGGUGAUCUACCCUUGGUCAGGUUGAAGUUCAGGUAACACUGAAUGGAGGACCGAACCGACUUACGUUGAAAAGUGAGCGGAUGAACUGAGGGUAGCGGAGAAAUUCCAAUCGAACCUGGAGAUAGCUGGUUCUCUCCGAAAUAGCUUUAGGGCUAGCCUCAAGUGAUGAUUAUUGGAGGUAGAGCACUGUUUGGACGAGGGGCCCCUCUCGGGUUACCGAAUUCAGACAAACUCCGAAUGCCAAUUAAUUUAACUUGGGAGUCAGAACAUGGGUGAUAAGGUCCGUGUUCGAAAGGGAAACAGCCCAGACCACCAGCUAAGGUCCCCAAAUAUAUGUUAAGUGGAAAAGGAUGUGGCGUUGCCCAGACAACUAGGAUGUUGGCUUAGAAGCAGCCAUCAUUUAAAGAGUGCGUAAUAGCUCACUAGUCGAGUGACACUGCGCCGAAAAUGUACCGGGGCUAAACAUAUUACCGAAGCUGUGGAUUGUCCUUUGGACAAUGGUAGGAGAGCGUUCUAAGGGCGUUGAAGCAUGAUCGUAAGGACAUGUGGAGCGCUUAGAAGUGAGAAUGCCGGUGUGAGUAGCGAAAGACGGGUGAGAAUCCCGUCCACCGAUUGACUAAGGUUUCCAGAGGAAGGCUCGUCCGCUCUGGGUUAGUCGGGUCCUAAGCUGAGGCCGACAGGCGUAGGCGAUGGAUAACAGGUUGAUAUUCCUGUACCACCUAUAAUCGUUUUAAUCGAUGGGGGGACGCAGUAGGAUAGGCGAAGCGUGCGAUUGGAUUGCACGUCUAAGCAGUAAGGCUGAGUAUUAGGCAAAUCCGGUACUCGUUAAGGCUGAGCUGUGAUGGGGAGAAGACAUUGUGUCUUCGAGUCGUUGAUUUCACACUGCCGAGAAAAGCCUCUAGAUAGAAAAUAGGUGCCCGUACCGCAAACCGACACAGGUAGUCAAGAUGAGAAUUCUAAGGUGAGCGAGCGAACUCUCGUUAAGGAACUCGGCAAAAUGACCCCGUAACUUCGGGAGAAGGGGUGCUCUUUAGGGUUAACGCCCAGAAGAGCCGCAGUGAAUAGGCCCAAGCGACUGUUUAUCAAAAACACAGGUCUCUGCUAAACCGUAAGGUGAUGUAUAGGGGCUGACGCCUGCCCGGUGCUGGAAGGUUAAGAGGAGUGGUUAGCUUCUGCGAAGCUACGAAUCGAAGCCCCAGUAAACGGCGGCCGUAACUAUAACGGUCCUAAGGUAGCGAAAUUCCUUGUCGGGUAAGUUCCGACCCGCACGAAAGGCGUAACGAUUUGGGCACUGUCUCAACGAGAGACUCGGUGAAAUCAUAGUACCUGUGAAGAUGCAGGUUACCCGCGACAGGACGGAAAGACCCCGUGGAGCUUUACUGUAGCCUGAUAUUGAAAUUCGGCACAGCUUGUACAGGAUAGGUAGGAGCCUUUGAAACGUGAGCGCUAGCUUACGUGGAGGCGCUGGUGGGAUACUACCCUAGCUGUGUUGGCUUUCUAACCCGCACCACUUAUCGUGGUGGGAGACAGUGUCAGGCGGGCAGUUUGACUGGGGCGGUCGCCUCCUAAAAGGUAACGGAGGCGCUCAAAGGUUCCCUCAGAAUGGUUGGAAAUCAUUCAUAGAGUGUAAAGGCAUAAGGGAGCUUGACUGCGAGACCUACAAGUCGAGCAGGGUCGAAAGACGGACUUAGUGAUCCGGUGGUUCCGCAUGGAAGGGCCAUCGCUCAACGGAUAAAAGCUACCCCGGGGAUAACAGGCUUAUCUCCCCCAAGAGUUCACAUCGACGGGGAGGUUUGGCACCUCGAUGUCGGCUCAUCGCAUCCUGGGGCUGUAGUCGGUCCCAAGGGUUGGGCUGUUCGCCCAUUAAAGCGAUACGCGAGCUGGGUUCAGAACGUCGUGAGACAGUUCGGUCCCUAUCCGUCGUGGGCGUAGGAAAUUUUGAGAGGAGCUGUCCUUAGUACGAGAGGACCGGGAUGGACAUACCUCUGGUGUACCAGUUGUCGUGCCAACGGCAUAGCUGGGUAGCUAUGUGUGGACGGGAUAAGUGCUGAAAGCAUCUAAGCAUGAAGCCCCCCUCAAGAUGAGAUUUCCCAACUUCGGUUAUAAGAUCCCUCAAAGAUGAUGAGGUUAAUAGGUUCGAGGUGGAAGCAUGGUGACAUGUGGAGCUGACGAAUACUAAUCGAUCGAAGACUUAAUCAA